Molecule: ribosomal RNA, 498 nt
Filed under: uncultured bacterium
Lineage: Bacteria
Description: partial 16S ribosomal RNA
Rfam family: Bacterial small subunit ribosomal RNA
Source: RNAcentral
GACGAACGCUGGCGGCGUGCCUAAUACAUGCAAGUCGAACGAGAGCGACCGGUGCUUGCACUGGUCAAUCUAGUGGCGAACGGGUGAGUAACACGUGGGUAACCUGCCCAUCAGAGGGGGAUAACAUCCGGAAACGGAUGCUAAAACCGCAUAGGUCUUCGAGCCGCAUGGCUUGAAGAGGAAAAGAGGCGCACGCUUCUGCUGAUGGAUGGACCCGCGGUGCAUUAGCUAGUUGGUGAGGUAACGGCUCACCAAGGCCGUGAUGCAUAGCCGACCUGAGAGGGUGAUCGGCCACAUUGGGACUGAGACACGGCCCAAACUCCUACGGGAGGCAGCAGUAGGGAAUCUUCCGCAAAGGACGCAAGUCUGACGGAGCAACGCCGCGUGAGUGAAGAAGGUUUUCGGAUCGUAAAACUCUGUUGUUAGAGAAGAACAAGUGCUAGAGUAACUGUUAGCGCCUUGACGGUAUCUAACCAGAAAGCCACGGCUAACUACGUG